This 326-nucleotide unclassified non-coding RNA is filed under the name soil metagenome. RNAcentral describes it as "partial contains 5.8S ribosomal RNA, internal transcribed spacer 2, and large subunit ribosomal RNA". The stretch from base 1 to 120 matches the Rfam family "5.8S ribosomal RNA", at positions 35 to 154 of the family's 154-position model. The record is from RNAcentral.
GAUGAAGAACGUAGCGAAAUGCGAUAAGUAAUGUGAAUUGCAGAAUUCAGUGAAUCAUCGAAUCUUUGAACGUACAUUGCGCCCCUUGGUAUUCCGAGGGGCAUGCCUGUUCGAGCGUCAUAUUAACCACUCCCGCUUGCGGGGUCUUGGGCUUCGCCUCCGGGCGGGCCUUAAAAUCAGUGGCGGUGCCGUCGGGCUCUACGCGUAGUAAAUUUUCUCGCGAUAGGGUCCCGGUGGAUGCUUGCCAACAACCCCCAACUUCUUAAGGUUGACCUCGGAUCAGGUAGGGAUACCCGCUGAACUUAAGCAUAUCAAUAAGCGGAGGA